CCUACGGGUGGCAGCAGUGGGGAAUAUUGGGCAAUGGGCGCAAGCCUGACCCAGCAACGCCGCGUGAAGGAAGAAGGCUUUCGGGUUGUAAACUUCUUUUCCCAGGGACGAAGCAAGUGACGGUACCUGAGGAAUAAGCCACGGCUAAAUACGUGCCAGCCGCCGCGGUAAUACGUAGGUGGCAAGCGUUAUACGGAUUCACUGGGUGUAAAGGGCGUGGAGGCGGGGACGUAAGUUAGAUGUGAAAGCCGCGGGCUCAACCGGUGGCCUGCAUUUGAAACUGGGUUUCUUGAGUACUGGAGAGGCAGGCGGAAUUCCUGGUGUAGCGGUGAAAUGCGUAGAUAUUAGGAGGAACACCAGUGGCGAAGGCGAUCUGCUGGACAGCAACUGACGCUGAGGCGCGAAAGCGUGGGGAGCAAACAGGAUUAGAUACCCUUGUAGUC
This 443-nucleotide ribosomal RNA is filed under the name uncultured bacterium. RNAcentral describes it as "partial 16S ribosomal RNA". It matches the Rfam family "Bacterial small subunit ribosomal RNA", at positions 338 to 795 of the family's 1533-position model. The record is from RNAcentral.